AGGGUUAGGAUGAAACUUCUUUUAUAGAGGUUUGAGGACUGUUAUGAGUAAUAAAAGGUCUCUUCCCUAAGGCUUCCAUCAGACAGGGAAGGCUCUGCGUAUUUUUGAGACAUGUGGGAGAUUAAGGCCAAUUUGGCAUCCCAAGAUCAAGUCAUCAUUUAUUGCAUUUAAUGUCGCACAUUCUUUUCCCCUUUAAUAACAUUUAGGAUUUCCC
RNAcentral lists this long non-coding RNA (214 nucleotides) under Lathyrus oleraceus (garden pea). Its description in RNAcentral is "Pisum sativum (pea) long non-coding RNA (PSAT_LNC036228)". Lineage: Eukaryota; Viridiplantae; Streptophyta; Magnoliopsida; Fabales; Fabaceae. The record is from RNAcentral.